RNAcentral lists this unclassified non-coding RNA (333 nucleotides) under soil metagenome. RNAcentral's name for it is "partial contains 5.8S ribosomal RNA, internal transcribed spacer 2, and large subunit ribosomal RNA". The stretch from base 1 to 120 matches the Rfam family "5.8S ribosomal RNA", at positions 35 to 154 of the family's 154-position model. The record is from RNAcentral.
GAUGAAGAACGUAGUGAAAUGCGAUAAGUAAUGUGAAUUGCAGAAUUCAGUGAAUCAUCGAAUCUUUGAACGCACAUUGCGCCCGCCAGUAUUCUGGCGGGCAUGCCUGUUCGAGCGUCAUUUCAACCAUCAAGCCCCCGGCUUGUGUUGGGGACCUGCGGCUGCCGCAGGCCCUGAAAUGCAGUGGCGGGCUCGCUGUCACUCCGAGCGUAGUAGUUACAUCUCGCUCUGGGCGUGCUGCGGGUUCCGGCCGUUAAAAGCCUUAUUUACCCAAGGUUGACCUCGGAUCAGGUAGGAAGACCCGCUGAACUUAAGCAUAUCAUAAGCGGAGGA